RNAcentral lists this unclassified non-coding RNA (254 nucleotides) under fungal sp. RNAcentral's name for it is "partial internal transcribed spacer region". The stretch from base 1 to 46 matches the Rfam family "Eukaryotic small subunit ribosomal RNA", at positions 1786 to 1831 of the family's 1831-position model. The record is from RNAcentral. Lineage: Eukaryota; Fungi.
AAGUCGUAACAAGGUUUCCGUAGGUGAACCUGCGGAAGGAUCAUUAACACGUAUCCAAACGUUAAAACCCCCCCCGUGAUCAUUGAUUGUGCAAGGAUAGCGCUUCUACGAUUCCUGUAGACCGUACACUCGGGCAGGAGCUUUGCCAAAGGGUCCCCAUGCCCCCUAAUAACCCCACAGUUUAAUGUGAAGCUCAAUGUAAUACAUUGGGUAAAAAAACCGAACAACUGUUAACAAUGGAUAUCUUGGUUCUC